Molecule: ribosomal RNA, 458 nt
Filed under: uncultured bacterium
Lineage: Bacteria
Description: partial 16S ribosomal RNA
Rfam family: Bacterial small subunit ribosomal RNA
Source: RNAcentral
GAUAAACGCUGGCGGCGCGCAUGAGAUAUGCAAGUCGAACGAAGGAUCGGGCUUGCUCGAUCCUUAGUGGCGGACGGCUGAGUAACGCGUAGGUGACCUACCCCGAAGUGGGGAAUAACUGCCCGAAAGGGCGGCUAAUACCGCAUGUGGUCGCACGUUCAUUCGUGCGAGUAAAGCCGCAAGGCGCUUCGGGAGGGGCCUGCGUCCGAUUAGCUCGUUGGUGGGGUAAUGGCUUACCAAGGCGACGAUCGGUAGGUGGUCUGAGAGGACGAUCACCCAGACUGGGACUGAGACACGGCCCAGACUCCUACGGGAGGCAGCAGUCGGGAAUUUUGCUCAAUGGGGGAAACCCUGAAGCAGCAACGCCGCGUGAGGGAUGAAGGCCUUCGGGUUGUAAACCUCUUUUGUCAGGGACGAUGAUGACGGUACCUGGCGAAUAAGCCACGGCUAACUACGUG